RNAcentral lists this ribosomal RNA (301 nucleotides) under uncultured bacterium. Its description in RNAcentral is "partial 16S ribosomal RNA". It matches the Rfam family "Archaeal small subunit ribosomal RNA", at positions 459 to 760 of the family's 1478-position model. The record is from RNAcentral.
CAGCCGCCGCGGUAAAACCAGCACCUCGAGUGGUCAGGAGGUUUAUUGGGCCUAAAGCAUCCGUAGCCGGUUGCAUAAGUUUUCGGUUAAAUCUAUGCGCUUAACGUAUAGGCCGCCGAAAAUACUGUGCAGCUAGGGAGUAGGAGAGGUACACGGUACUCGAUAGGAAGGGGUAAAAUCCUUUGAUCUAUUGAUGACCACCUGUGGCGAAGGCGGUGUACCAGAACACGUUCGACGGUGAGGGAUGAAAGCUGGGGGAGCAAACCGGAUUAGAGACCCCAGUAGUCCCUGUCUCUUAUAA